CUCACUAGGCGACUCAAACUCUUCCUACCGCAGAUCAUUUCCAAAUCCCAAUCAGCUUUCGUCUCGGGUCUUGCGAUUGCCGAUAAUGUGCUGAUCACCCAUGAGACGCUCCACUUUCUAUGGACAUCUGAGGCAAUGAAAUUUUGUUCCAUGGCGGUAAAGACGGACAUGAGCAAAGCCUAUGACCGGAUCGAGUGGAAUU
This 202-nucleotide long non-coding RNA is filed under the name Brassica napus (rape). RNAcentral describes it as "long non-coding RNA (BNAP_LNC025125)". Lineage: Eukaryota; Viridiplantae; Streptophyta; Magnoliopsida; Brassicales; Brassicaceae. The record is from RNAcentral.